UCUCUUGUGCUCGGGCGCGUGGUCGUACCAGUGAGGUUUUUACCGAGGUCGAUCUAUUUUGCUGAUUGCAAAUUAUACAUCCGAACCCGUCUGAUUGCUUCGGCUUUCAGCAAUUUUUGAAACCCUCCUCUAUCCUGAUG
RNAcentral lists this small nuclear RNA (140 nucleotides) under Collybiopsis luxurians FD-317 M1. RNAcentral's name for it is "Gymnopus luxurians FD-317 M1 U4 spliceosomal RNA". It matches the Rfam family "U4 spliceosomal RNA". From Rfam's summary of the family: U4 small nuclear RNA (U4 snRNA) is a component of the major U2-dependent spliceosome. Lineage: Eukaryota; Fungi; Basidiomycota; Agaricomycetes; Agaricales; Omphalotaceae. The record is from Rfam by way of RNAcentral.